CUACGGGUGGCAGCAGUGGGGAAUAUUGGACAAUGGGCGAAAGCCUGAUCCAGCCAUGCCGCGUGUGUGAAGAAGGCCUUCGGGUUGUAAAGCACUUUCAGUGGGGAAGAAAGCCUUGGGGCUAAUACCCUCGAGGAAGGACAUCACCCACAGAAGAAGCACCGGCUAACUCCGUGCCAGCAGCCGCGGUAAUACGGAGGGUGCGAGCGUUAAUCGGAAUUACUGGGCGUAAAGCGCGCGUAGGCGGUCUGAUAAGCCGGUUGUGAAAGCCCCGGGCUCAACCUGGGAACGGCAUCCGGAACUGUCAGGCUAGAGUGCAUGAGAGGAAGGUAGAAUUCCCGGUGUAGCGGUGAAAUGCGUAGAGAUCGGGAGGAAUACCAGUGGCGAAGGCGGCCUUCUGGACUGACACUGACGCUGAGGUGCGAAAGCGUGGGUAGCAAACAGGAUUAGAUACCCCAGUAGUC
RNAcentral lists this ribosomal RNA (464 nucleotides) under Vreelandella stevensii. RNAcentral describes it as "partial 16S ribosomal RNA". It matches the Rfam family "Bacterial small subunit ribosomal RNA", at positions 339 to 795 of the family's 1533-position model. The record is from RNAcentral. Lineage: Bacteria; Pseudomonadati; Pseudomonadota; Gammaproteobacteria; Oceanospirillales; Halomonadaceae.